RNAcentral lists this transfer RNA (77 nucleotides) under bacterium. RNAcentral's name for it is "tRNA-Pro". It matches the Rfam family "tRNA". From Rfam's summary of the family: Transfer RNA (tRNA) molecules are approximately 80 nucleotides in length. The record is from RNAcentral.
CGGGAUGUGGCGCAGCCCGGUAGCGUACUUGCUUCGGGAGCAAGGGGUCGCCAGUUCGAAUCUGGCCAUCCCGACCA